AAAGAAACCAACAGGGAUUGCCUCAGUAACGGCGAGUGAAGCGGCAAGAGCUCAAAUUUGAAAUCUGGCCCCUCCGGGGUCCGAGUUGUAAUUUGUAGAGGAUGCUUCGGGUGCGGCCCCCGUCUAAGUGCUCUGGAACGGGCCAUCGGAGAGGGUGAGAAUCCCGUCUGGGACGGGGUGUCCGCGUCCAUGUGAAGCUCCUUCGACGAGUCGAGUUGUUUGGGAAUGCAGCUCUAAAUGGGUGGUAAAUUUCAUCUAAAGCUAAAUACUGGCCGGAGACCGAUAGCGCACAAGUAGAGUGAUCGAAAGAUGAAAAGCACUUUGAAAAGAGAGUUAAACAGCACGUGAAAUUGUUGAAAGGGAAGCGCUUGCGACCAGACUCGCUUCCGGGGUUCAGCCGGCUUUCGGGCCGGUGUACUUCCCCGGGGGCGGGCCAGCGUCGGUUUGGGCGGCCGGUCAAAGGCCCCUGGAAUGUAACGCCCCUCGGGGCGCCUUAUAGCCAGGGGUGUCAUGCGGCCAGCCUGGACCGAGGAACGCGCUUCGGCACGGACGCUGGCAUAAUGGUCGUAAACGAC
This 575-nucleotide ribosomal RNA is filed under the name Aspergillus glaucus. RNAcentral's name for it is "eukaryotic LSU rRNA". It matches the Rfam family "Eukaryotic large subunit ribosomal RNA", at positions 58 to 648 of the family's 3401-position model. RNAcentral also lists the same sequence under 1 other name. The record is from RNAcentral. Lineage: Eukaryota; Fungi; Ascomycota; Eurotiomycetes; Eurotiales; Aspergillaceae.